GGCGGACGGGUGAGUAACGCGUGGGAAUCUACCCAGUAGUGGGGGGCAACUACCGGAAACGGUAGCUAAUACCGCAUACGCCCUAUGGGGGAAAGGCUUCGGCCGCUAUUGGAUGAGCCCGCGUCAGAUUAGCUAGUUGGUAGGGUAAAGGCCUACCAAGGCAACGAUCUGUAGCUGGUCUGAGAGGACGAACAGCCACACUGGGACUGAGACACGGCCCAGACUCCUACGGGAGGCAGCAGUGGGGAAUAUUGGACAAUGGGCGAAAGCCUGAUCCAGCAAUGCCGCGUGUGUGAAGAAGGCCUGCGGGUUGUAAAGCACUUUCAGUUGGGAAGAUGAUGACGUUACCAACAGAAGAAGCACCGGCUAAAUCCGUGCCAGCAGCCGCGGUAAUACGGAUGGUGCGAGCGUUAAUCGGAAUUACUGGGCGUAAAGCGCGC
RNAcentral lists this ribosomal RNA (440 nucleotides) under uncultured Gammaproteobacteria bacterium. RNAcentral describes it as "bacterial SSU rRNA". It matches the Rfam family "Bacterial small subunit ribosomal RNA", at positions 97 to 570 of the family's 1533-position model. Lineage: Bacteria; Pseudomonadati; Pseudomonadota; Gammaproteobacteria. The record is from RNAcentral.